CGCCAAAAAAGUACAAGCCAAGCUUCAAACUUAAAAGACCUGGCGGUACUCUAAAUAAACCUAGAGGGGCCUGUCUAGUAAUCGAUAAUCCACGAAAAACCCAACCUCUUCUGGCCAAAUCAGCCUGUAUACCGCCGUCGAAAGCUAAUUUUUCAAGAAAUAUAAAGCUAAAAAGUACAGUUAACUAACACGUCAGGUCAAGGUGUAGCACAUGAAGAGGAUAAGAUUGGCCACAGUA
RNAcentral lists this ribosomal RNA (238 nucleotides) under Coryphophylax subcristatus. RNAcentral describes it as "partial 12S ribosomal RNA". Lineage: Eukaryota; Metazoa; Chordata; Lepidosauria; Squamata; Agamidae. The record is from RNAcentral.